This is a long non-coding RNA of Hylaeus volcanicus, 720 nucleotides long. RefSeq lists it as uncharacterized. NCBI's taxonomy places the organism in Eukaryota, Metazoa, Arthropoda, Insecta, Hymenoptera, Colletidae. The record is from RefSeq and is a predicted model, not a curated record. The transcript has 3 exons.
UUAGAACCUUCAAUGUCCAAAUGACGACGCGUACUUGGACGACUUGUUGAGGGGUCAACAUAAGAGGUAUCAUUGGCCUAAAAAAUACACAAUUUUAAAUAAGGAUUCCCUGGUAUUUUAUUUGCUGUAAUGGAAAGGGCACUAUCCAAUAAAAAUUUUUUAAAAAAAAGUAAGGAUUUCCACCCAUAAACGAAUGUGACCUACUGUCUCAUUGUUUGUCAAAUCUCGUAAACAUCUUGUUUCCACUAGAACUGGAUUCUCAUGAUUUGUCUACAAAUAACAACCAACACGACAUGGGGGAUUCAAAACUAUUUUUAAGGAAGCGCACCGUUAAAAACUUAAAAUUUGGAUGAAAAAAUCGAUUUUCUAAAUCGAUAUAUGUUUGACCGACAAUUUGAAAAGAAGACCAUGAAGUGUUUCUAAAAAAGAAUAAUAUCAUUUGAAUCUAAAGAAAACUUUUGUUAUCUAAUCCAUUUAGUAAUUUCUUACACUGUUGAAAUACCAAUAGUUAAAAUUGCAUUUUGGGGGAAUUCCGCAUCUAACUCGAACGAACGAUAAAAGUCUGGAGCCAAUCCUUUUCUUGCGUCCCAUAACCAUAUUUCACGACGAGAAACCAUUCUCCUUCAUCGUUUGCACUUGUGCAUAAACCAGUAGCAUUUUUCACGUGCACUCUCACUUUAAGAGGUCCGGUACUUAAUUGUUUACGCAGCUUAUCAACAU